GUAAUCGAGAACAGUGUUCAAGAGUUGGUCUAUGCAGUUUGUCGUCAAAUUUACAUUUGUCCUGCAUAACAUUUGGGAAGUUAAUGCCAGGAGGGUUUGUUUCAGUUGUGAAGGUACAUAGUAAAUUGGACGGCUAUCUCUAUGCGAUCAAAAGAAUUUAUUUGAAUCAGACAAGUGUUCUGUUAAAUCGCAAAAUUGCUCGAGAAGAGAAGUUCCUUUCUAGAUUGAAUCAUGAAAAUAUUGUAAGGUAAAAAGAAAUUUACUAUCCAAAAUAAAUCAAAAUUUUAUAACAUAAGGAUUGAAAGCGAGGUUCAAUUUAGAGGAUACAAAUUGCUU
This is a long non-coding RNA of Xenia sp. Carnegie-2017, 336 nucleotides long. RefSeq lists it as uncharacterized. Lineage: Eukaryota; Metazoa; Cnidaria; Anthozoa; Malacalcyonacea; Xeniidae. The record is from RefSeq and is a predicted model, not a curated record. The transcript is spliced from 2 exons.